RNAcentral lists this ribosomal RNA (492 nucleotides) under uncultured bacterium. RNAcentral describes it as "partial 16S ribosomal RNA". It matches the Rfam family "Bacterial small subunit ribosomal RNA", at positions 29 to 507 of the family's 1533-position model. The record is from RNAcentral.
AGUGAACGCUGGCGGUAGGCCUAACACAUGCAAGUCGAACGGCAGCACAGUAAGAGCUUGCUCUUACGGGUGGCGAGUGGCGCACGGGUGAGGAAUACAUCGGAAUCUACUUUUUCGUGGGGGAUAACGUAGGGAAACUUACGCUAAUACCGCAUACGACCUACGGGUGAAAGCAGGGGAUCUUCGGACCUUGCGCGAUUGAAUGAGCCGAUGUCGGAUUAGCUAGUUGGCGGGGUAAAGGCCCACCAAGGCGACGAUCCGUAGCUGGUCUGAGAGGAUGAUCAGCCACACUGGAACUGAGACACGGUCCAGACUCCUACGGGAGGCAGCAGUGGGGAAUAUUGGACAAUGGGCGCAAGCCUGAUCCAGCCAUACCGCGUGGGUGAAGAAGGCCUUCGGGUUGUAAAGCCCUUUUGUUGGGAAAGAAAAGCAGCAGGUUAAUACCCCGCUGUUCUGACGGUACCCAAAGAAUAAGCACCGGCUAACUUCGUG